UCCUCCAGCACUAUUCGAUUACAUGA
This 26-nucleotide non-coding RNA is filed under the name Homo sapiens (human). Lineage: Eukaryota; Metazoa; Chordata; Mammalia; Primates; Hominidae. The record is from RNAcentral.